RNAcentral lists this ribosomal RNA (254 nucleotides) under uncultured bacterium. RNAcentral's name for it is "partial 16S ribosomal RNA". It matches the Rfam family "Bacterial small subunit ribosomal RNA", at positions 524 to 776 of the family's 1533-position model. The record is from RNAcentral.
UACGAGAGGUCCAAGCGUUGUCCGGAGUUACUGGGCGUAAAGGGUGUGUAGGGGGUCGUGUUAGUCUUUGUUUAAAUUUUUGGGCCCAACCCAAAAGCUGGCAGGGAAACGGCACGACUAGAGGACGGGAGAGGCAGAUGGAACUAAUGGUGGAGGGGUGAAAUCCGUUGAUAUCAUUGGGAACACCAAAGGCGAAGGCAAUCUGCUGGCCCGUUACCUGACCCUGAAACACGAAAGCGUGGGGAUCAAAAAGG